UACGGAGGGUGCAAGCGUUAUCCGGAUUCACUGGGUUUAAAGGGUGCGUAGGCGGGCAGGUAAGUCAGUGGUGAAAUCUCCGGGCUUAACCCGGAAACUGCCGUUGAUACUAUCUGUCUUGAAUAUCGCGGAGGUAAGCGGAAUAUGUCAUGUAGCGGUGAAAUGCUUAGAUAUGACAUAGAACACCUAUUGCGAAGGCAGCUUACUACACGAUCAUUGACGCUGAGGCACGAAAGCGUGGGGAGCAAACAGG
RNAcentral lists this ribosomal RNA (253 nucleotides) under uncultured bacterium. Its description in RNAcentral is "partial 16S ribosomal RNA". It matches the Rfam family "Bacterial small subunit ribosomal RNA", at positions 524 to 776 of the family's 1533-position model. The record is from RNAcentral.